Molecule: small nuclear RNA, 21 nt
Filed under: Arabidopsis thaliana (thale cress)
Lineage: Eukaryota; Viridiplantae; Streptophyta; Magnoliopsida; Brassicales; Brassicaceae
Description: snRNA_07415
Source: RNAcentral
CGGACAAGGGGAAUCCGACUG